CAUCAUUUUGAAACACAGUUCCCGUACGAUCUCCGAAGUAAAGCAACGUCGAGCCAGAUCAGUACCUAGAUGGGUGACCACUUUGGAAUACCAGGUGUUGUAA
Non-coding RNA from Acanthosepion pharaonis, 103 nucleotides. The record is from the annotation of a GenBank genome assembly. Lineage: Eukaryota; Metazoa; Mollusca; Cephalopoda; Sepiida; Sepiidae.